AUGCCAAUAUGGUUAGCCAAAUUAUCACAACUCCGCUGGCUUAACUUAGCAUCUAACAACAUUAUUGGUCCAAUCCCGGCUGCUCUUAGCAAUCUCACUAGUCUUACUCAUCUGGAUCUCUCCAACUGCAGUCUAGGAGGAGAGAUUCCACCAGAAUUAGGUCUUAUACAGGAACUCUCGUUUCUGUCUCUUACACUCAAUCAAUUGGUGGGUAAUAUUCCAGCUUCGCUCGGCAACUUAUCCAAAUUGUCUUUGCUAACUUUGCCAGCUAAUCAAUUGUUGGGACAAGUACCAAUAACAUUAGGGAAACUUGUAGCUUUGACCGUGCUUGAAUUCUCAAUAACAAUUUAG
Molecule: ribosomal RNA, 351 nt
Filed under: Triticum aestivum (bread wheat)
Lineage: Eukaryota; Viridiplantae; Streptophyta; Magnoliopsida; Poales; Poaceae
Description: partial small subunit ribosomal RNA
Source: RNAcentral